RNAcentral lists this ribosomal RNA (484 nucleotides) under uncultured bacterium. Its description in RNAcentral is "partial 16S ribosomal RNA". It matches the Rfam family "Bacterial small subunit ribosomal RNA", at positions 28 to 523 of the family's 1533-position model. The record is from RNAcentral.
GACGAACGCUGGCGGCGUGCUUAACACAUGCAAGUCGAACGAUGAACCCGGAGCUUGCUCCGGUGGAUUAGUGGCGAACGGGUGAGUAACACGUGAGUAACCUGCCCUUGACUCUGGGAUAACUGCGGGAAACUGUAGCUAAUACCGGAUACGACCCUCGGCGGCAUCGCCAGGGGGUGGAAAGAAUUUCGGUCAAGGAUGGACUCGCGGCCUAUCAGCUAGUUGGUGAGGUAACGGCUCACCAAGGCGACGACGGGUAGCCGGCCUGAGAGGGUGACCGGGCACACUGGGACUGAGACACGGCCCAGACUCCUACGGGAGGCAGCAGUGGGGAAUAUUGCACAAUGGGCGCAAGCCUGAUGCAGCAACGCCGCGUGAGGGAUGACGGCCUUCGGGUUGUAAACCUCUUUUAGUAGGGAAGAAGCGAAAGUGGCGGUACCUGCAGAAAAAGCACCGGCUAACUACGUGCCAGCAGCCGCGGUAA